AUGUAAAUCAUGAGUUGGAACUGCCGGGGACUUGGGAACGGCCCGACAGUUCGGAGUCUCCUCGAGAUGGGGAGAAUGGAGGAUCCUGACGUUUUAUUUCUUGCUGAGACGAGGUUGACGGAGAGGGAACUGGAUAGCUUUCGGUGGUCACUUGGACUUGCUCACAUGCUUGUGUGGGAUCCAAUUGGAAGGAGUAGGGGCAUUGCUAUGUUUUGGAGAAGAGGGGUGGAUGUCUCUUUGAGAUCAUAUGGACGGAGGCAUGUUGAUGUUGACGUGGCAGGAGAAGGAGGAACUAACUGGAGGCUUACCGGUGUAUACGGCGAGUCGGCUGCAGAACGUAAGAAAGAUACUUGGCGUACAAUGAGGCUUCUCGGCCAACAACACCAAGCCGGACGACCUUGGCUGUGUCUCGGGGACUUUAAUGAAAUUUUGGUUUGUGAUGAGAAAAUGGGGGGUGCUGCACGAUCACAGGCUUGCAUGGACAGAUUCAGAGAAGCGCUGGUAUCUUGUGAUCUCUAUGAUGUGGGUUACGUGGGAGAUAAAUUUACGUGGAGGAACCAUAGUAAGGAGCUACAUUCUUAUAUUUGUGAGAGGUUGGACCGUGCAGCAGCAAACACAUAA
This 621-nucleotide ribosomal RNA is filed under the name Triticum aestivum (bread wheat). RNAcentral's name for it is "partial small subunit ribosomal RNA". The record is from RNAcentral. Lineage: Eukaryota; Viridiplantae; Streptophyta; Magnoliopsida; Poales; Poaceae.